RNAcentral lists this ribosomal RNA (494 nucleotides) under uncultured bacterium. RNAcentral describes it as "partial 16S ribosomal RNA". It matches the Rfam family "Bacterial small subunit ribosomal RNA", at positions 29 to 507 of the family's 1533-position model. The record is from RNAcentral.
ACGCACGCUGGCGGCGUGCCUAAUACAUGCAAGUAGAACGCUGAAGGAGGAGCUUGCUCUUCUGGAUGAGUUGCGAACGGGUGAGUAACGCGUAGGUAACCUGCCUGGUAGCGGGGGAUAACUAUUGGAAACGAUAGCUGAUACCGCAUAAGAGUAGAUGUUGCAUGACAUUUACUUAAAAGGUGCAAUUGCAUCACUACCAGAUGGACCUGCGUUGUAUUAGCUAGUUGGUGGGGUAACGGCUUACCAAGGCGACGAUACAUAGCCGACCUGAGAGGGUGAUCGGCCACACUGGGACUGAGACACGGCCCAGACUCCUACGGGAGGCAGCAGUAGGGAAUCUUCGGCAAUGGACGGAAGUCUGACCGAGCAACGCCGCGUGAGUGAAGAAGGUUUUCGGAUCGUAAAGCUCUGUUGUAAGAGAAGAACGAGUGUGAGAGUGGAAAGUUCACACUGUGACGGUAUCUUACCAGAAAGGGACGGCUAACUACGUG